This 1697-nucleotide ribosomal RNA is filed under the name Escherichia coli. RNAcentral describes it as "partial 23S ribosomal RNA". It matches the Rfam family "Bacterial large subunit ribosomal RNA", at positions 1240 to 2915 of the family's 2925-position model. Lineage: Bacteria; Pseudomonadati; Pseudomonadota; Gammaproteobacteria; Enterobacterales; Enterobacteriaceae. The record is from RNAcentral.
UCUGUAAGCCUGCGAAGGUGUGCUGUGAGGCAUGCUGGAGGUAUCAGAAGUGCGAAUGCUGACAUAAGUAACGAUAAAGCGGGUGAAAAGCCCGCUCGCCGGAAGACCAAGGGUUCCUGUCCAACGUUAAUCGGGGCAGGGUGAGUCGACCCCUAAGGCGAGGCCGAAAGGCGUAGUCGAUGGGAAACAGGUUAAUAUUCCUGUACUUGGUGUUACUGCGAAGGGGGGACGGAGAAGGCUAUGUUGGCCGGGCGACGGUUGUCCCGGUUUAAGCGUGUAGGCUGGUUUUCCAGGCAAAUCCGGAAAAUCAAGGCUGAGGCGUGAUGACGAGGCACUACGGUGCUGAAGCAACAAAUGCCCUGCUUCCAGGAAAAGCCUCUAAGCAUCAGGUAACAUCAAAUCGUACCCCAAACCGACACAGGUGGUCAGGUAGAGAAUACCAAGGCGCUUGAGAGAACUCGGGUGAAGGAACUAGGCAAAAUGGUGCCGUAACUUCGGGAGAAGGCACGCUGAUAUGUAGGUGAAGUCCCUCGCGGAUGGAGCUGAAAUCAGUCGAAGAUACCAGCUGGCUGCAACUGUUUAUUAAAAACACAGCACUGUGCAAACACGAAAGUGGACGUAUACGGUGUGACGCCUGCCCGGUGCCGGAAGGUUAAUUGAUGGGGUCAGCGCAAGCGAAGCUCUUGAUCGAAGCCCCGGUAAACGGCGGCCGUAACUAUAACGGUCCUAAGGUAGCGAAAUUCCUUGUCGGGUAAGUUCCGACCUGCACGAAUGGCGUAAUGAUGGCCAGGCUGUCUCCACCCGAGACUCAGUGAAAUUGAACUCGCUGUGAAGAUGCAGUGUACCCGCGGCAAGACGGAAAGACCCCGUGAACCUUUACUAUAGCUUGACACUGAACAUUGAGCCUUGAUGUGUAGGAUAGGUGGGAGGCUUUGAAGUGUGGACGCCAGUCUGCAUGGAGCCGACCUUGAAAUACCACCCUUUAAUGUUUGAUGUUCUAACGUUGACCCGUAAUCCGGGUUGCGGACAGUGUCUGGUGGGUAGUUUGACUGGGGCGGUCUCCUCCUAAAGAGUAACGGAGGAGCACGAAGGUUGGCUAAUCCUGGUCGGACAUCAGGAGGUUAGUGCAAUGGCAUAAGCCAGCUUGACUGCGAGCGUGACGGCGCGAGCAGGUGCGAAAGCAGGUCAUAGUGAUCCGGUGGUUCUGAAUGGAAGGGCCAUCGCUCAACGGAUAAAAGGUACUCCGGGGAUAACAGGCUGAUACCGCCCAAGAGUUCAUAUCGACGGCGGUGUUUGGCACCUCGAUGUCGGCUCAUCACAUCCUGGGGCUGAAGUAGGUCCCAAGGGUAUGGCUGUUCGCCAUUUAAAGUGGUACGCGAGCUGGGUUUAGAACGUCGUGAGACAGUUCGGUCCCUAUCUGCCGUGGGCGCUGGAGAACUGAGGGGGGCUGCUCCUAGUACGAGAGGACCGGAGUGGACGCAUCACUGGUGUUCGGGUUGUCAUGCCAAUGGCACUGCCCGGUAGCUAAAUGCGGAAGAGAUAAGUGCUGAAAGCAUCUAAGCACGAAACUUGCCCCGAGAUGAGUUCUCCCUGACUCCUUGAGAGUCCUGAAGGAACGUUGAAGACGACGACGUUGAUAGGCCGGGUGUGUAAGCGCAGCGAUGCGUUGAGCUAACCGGUACUAAUGAACCGUGAGG